This 4168-nucleotide unclassified non-coding RNA is filed under the name Leishmania donovani. RNAcentral's name for it is "gene:LdHU3.17.1870(CDS-product:Domain_of_unknown_ function_(DUF1726)/Helicase/GNAT_acetyltransferase_2/Possib le_tRNA_binding_domain_containing_protein_putative)". The record is from RNAcentral. Lineage: Eukaryota; Euglenozoa; Kinetoplastea; Trypanosomatida; Trypanosomatidae.
UCGUUUUCACUUGCAGGUGAACCAGCCUUCUCUCCCCCGUAUAGUCCGCCUCCACUUCGCCUCCGUAGAGCAUGGCGUCGUCGGCGUCUGUGGCCGGCUCCGCCCGCGGCGUUGGUGGUGGUGCCACCAUGGUGAAGCGCAAGGUGGACGACCGCGUCAAGACGCUGAUCGACGACAUCGCCCACCACAAGCAUCGCGGCCUCAUCUUGCUCGUUGGUGACCGGGCCAAGGACCAGGUGGUGAAUCUCCACCUCAUGAUCUCCCGCGCCAACCACAACGCGAAGGUGAACGUCCUGUGGUGCAUGCGCGAGGACCCAGACUUCGGGUCGACUGGCAAGAAGCAGCAGGAGAAGCGGGCCCGGCUGGAGGUGAAGGGCGGCCUCUCCACGGAGGCCUCCAAGGAGGCCUUCCAGACGUUUCUGGCACAGACAAACAUCCGAUUUUGCAAGUACAAGGAGACGCACAAGAUCCUCGGCCAGACCUUUGGGAUGGCUGUUCUGCAAGAUUUCGAGGCGAUCAAUCCCAACACGCUGGCCCGCACGAUGGAGACGGUGAAGGGAGGCGGCCUCAUCGUGAUCACAUUCCGCGCGAUGCGGUCGCUGCGGCAGCUCUACACGAUCGCCAUGGACGUGCACGCGCGCUACCGCACCGAGACGCAGAGGGAUGUCGUCCCCCGCUUCAACGAGCGCUUCCUUCUUUCGCUGACAGACUGCGACACUGCCAUGUGCGUGGACGACGACUUGAAUGUGCUCCCCAUCACACACAAGAUGAAGUCGUACGGCAAGAGCCGCAAGAGCGACGCCUACGACGCCGAUCUUGCGGUGCAGGGCCGUCUGCAGCACGAGGUGGACUUGGCGAAUGUCAAGGACACGCUAAGGCCGAGUGAGGAUGUGGGGCCGCUCAUGCAGCUGUGCCAGACAAUGGACCAGGCGAAGACGGUGCUGUCGCUUAUGCAAACGGUCAUGGAAAAGCGGCUGGACUCGACGUGCGUCGUGACGGCAGGUCGCGGCCGCGGCAAGUCCGCCGCGCUUGGGAUGACGAUCGCGGGGGCGAUUGCGCAGGGGUACAGCAACAUCAUAUGCACCGCCCCGACUCCGGAGAAUGUGCAGACUCUCUUCGAGUUCGCGAUUCGUGGGCUGAAGGAGCUGGGGUAUCGAGAGCGGACCGACUUUGAGGCGCUGCAGGGCGUCAGCGAGGAGUUUGCCAAGUGCUUCAUCCGCAUCAACGUCUUCCGGGAGCACCGGCAGACAGUGCAGUUCGUCUCCGCGGCGGACACGGCGAAGUUUGCGCAGGCAGAGUUGUGCGUGAUUGAUGAGGCGGCGGCGCUGCCGCUGACGCUGGUGAAGCGCAUCUUGGGCCCCUAUCUCGUCAUUCUGAGCUCCACCGUGUCAGGCUACGAGGGUACUGGCCGCAGCCUGUCCAUGAAGCUUGUGGCCGACAUGCGUCGCGGCAGCAGCAGCGGCGCCGCCGACGCGCGUCACCUGAAGGAGCUGUCGAUGAGCGAUCCGAUCCGUUACGGCCCGGGCGACCCGGUGGAGAAGUGGCUGAACAAGCUGCUAUGCCUCGAUGCAACGAUGGCGAACACGCAGCUGACGACGUCGCCGCACCCGAGCGCGUGCGAGCUGUUCUACGUCAACCGCGACGCUCUCUUCUCAUACCACCCCCUGGCAGAGGAGCUGCUGCAGCGCAUCCAGUCGCUGCUCGUCGCUGCUCACUACAAGAAUCAACCGAAUGACCUGCAGCUGCUCUCCGACGCACCGGGGCACCACUUGUUUGUGCUCUGCGCCGACAGCGUUGAGUCGUCCGCUGCCACGGCGCCGACCUCGUCGACCUCGGCGACGGCACGCCAGCAAGUGCCGGACAUAUUCUGCGUCAUCCACGCCUGCGAGGAGGGCCAAGUGAGUGCGCAGAGCAUCAAGAGCCAUCUGAGCCACGGCCUUCGCCCAUCGGGUGACUUGAUCCCCUACACCCUGUCCCAGUACUACCUGGAAGAGGGCUUCGCAAGGCUGGCAGGGCUGCGCAUCGUGCGAAUCGCCACGAACCCGGCGCUGCCUCGGGCCGGCUACGGCUCCCGUGCCCUCUCCUUGCUGCACCAGUACUACAGCGGGUCCAUCUCGCUGACAGCGGCCGAGCCCAAAACGGCGACGACGAAGCGCAGGAGCGGUGACUCCGAGGCUGACGCGCGUGAGCUGGCAGGCAAGGAGCACGACGGCGACGACGGCGAGCCCUCUGCGGCAACCGCGAUGCUUGCGCCGCGCUCGCACAUCACAAAUCUUCUUACGCCCCUUAUCGAGCGCCCUUACGAGCUCGUCGACUACCUCGGCGCCAGCUUCGGCCUCACGACGGAGCUGCUCAACUUCUGGAAGAAGGCGUCGUACAUUCCCUUGUACGUGCGCCAAGCCCCGAAUGAGCUGACGGGCGAGCACAGCUGCAUCAUGGUGCGGCCGAUGGGCUUCGACUUGCGCCCGCUGCAGCGCGAGUUUCAGCACCGUCUGCUCCCUCUCCUGGCGAUGCCGUUCCGCCACUUGCCGACGGAACUCGCGCUGAGCCUCGUGGGUGACUUUGAAGCACAUGACCCACACAAGAUGAGUGCGGCGACGGACCUGUCAGAGGUCGACCACCACGUUGUGCGCGUGGACGGCGUCGUGCAGGCAACAAGCGACGAUAUUGCAGCCGCCUUCUCUGCCGGCGAUGUACAGCGCCUGCGUCUUGUGUCGACCACGUUCAUUGAGGGCGGCAACGUGCUCGACUUGGUCCCGACGCUGGCGAAGUUAUACUUUGGGAAGCAACUCUUCCGUUGCCCGGAUGGCACCGACGGCGUUGUGCUCUCCCACGCGCAGGCGGCCGUGCUGCUGGCGGUGGGUCUGCAGUGCCAAACAACUGAGGAGCUCGCAGCCCAGCCGGCUUUCUCUGGGGUGUCGACGCAGCAGCUGCGCGCGCUUUUCCUGAAGGCCCUCUCCCGCCUCUCGGAGCACCUUGUCGCCCUGCAGAAGAUCGCCAAGAAGGCGCACAAGGAUGGCCACAACGCCGGCGUCGUCGCGGGCAAGCGCGCGCGUUUGCUGUCGGACGGCGCGGCCGGUGACAGCGCCGCCAUCGGCGGCGCCGAUGAAGACGUCGAGGAUGCGGAGGAGAUCUAUGACAGUCACGGCAACUUGAAGGGGCUGAAGGUGGCGCGCAAAGUCAAGGCGCAGGUGUGCACGGACAGGACACUACUGCGGGACGCGUCGUCGUCCAUCUCGGGCAACGCGUCGGCUGCGUCUACGGGUCGGGACAGUCUACAAGAUGUCUUCUACCGCCCAACGAAGAAGACGUCCAAGCGUCGUUGAUGGCAAACUCCGUAACUCAUCGCGUUGUGUUCUUCUCGCUACAGGGUAUCUCUCUGUACCUUGACGGACAUGGCGGGCGGCGGAGGGCCGUGAUGGAUGGCCGAGCCCGAGAAGGGCAUCGAAGGAGAUCGGCGCGGACAGAGAUACAACGGCACGAAAGCGAGCGGAUGGCUGCGAGUGGGAGAGUGGGGGAUGCCGGGGACGUCCCAUAGUUGGGGAGGGGGGGCUGUCCGUGUCGUGUCCGCGGGUACCCAGCUCUCCUCCCCUUUCCGACUGCGCCGUCCCUGAAGGACUCAUGUAUCUCCCCACCUCGAUCCACCACCACCGCGCCCGCCGACGGCAGCAGCGGCGGUGCUCUCCCUCACUGCAACUCCUUUCUACCUCACCGGCUCCGCCUCACGAGCUCUGCCGCUCGCUCCUCUCUCUGCGUGCGUGCGCUCGGGUCUUGAGUGCCUCCGUUCGCUCUUCCCCUUUACAUAUGGCCCACGCGGAGGGCGUAACGCCCUUCUCCUCCCCUCCCAACCACUCUCCCUGCGGCCACUCGAAUACAUCCACACACGCACACACGUGCACAACGUGACUCGUGCAUGAAGGGCGCUUGCGCGCUUCUCCACGCGCGCGGGCGUGCUUGUGUGGCCGCGUUGGACCGCCUAAGCGGUCUUGCGGUCGCUAAUCGGUGUUCUUAAGCGCAGAUUAACCACCGAGAUAAAGACUACGAACUCACAAGCGAAACGACGAUGAGCGCAUCUAACGCGUUCUCGUCUGCUGAUGGCCGCUUCCAGAUGUGCUGCUGCGGCUGCUUGCGUGUUGUGCUUGUGUGUGUGUGUGCUUGGGGGGGUACG